Molecule: ribosomal RNA, 429 nt
Filed under: uncultured bacterium
Lineage: Bacteria
Description: bacterial SSU rRNA
Rfam family: Bacterial small subunit ribosomal RNA
Source: RNAcentral
UGAGGAAUAUUGCGCAAUGGGGGCAACCCUGACGCAGCAACGCCGCGUGAGUGAGGAAGGUUUUCGGACCGUAAAGCUCUGUCGAGCGGGAAGAAAUGCAUGGUGGCUAAUAUCCAUCAUGCUUGACGGUACCGCUAAAGGAAGCACCGGCUAACUCCGUGCCAGCAGCCGCGGUAAUACGGGGGGUGCGAGCGUUGUUCGGAAUUAUUGGGCGUAAAGAGCGUGUAGGCGGCCGAAUAAGUCAGAUGUGAAAUCCCUGGGCUUAACCCAGGACGUGCAUUUGAAACUAUUCGGCUGGAGUAGGGGAGAGGAAAGUGGAAUUCCUGGUGUAGAGGUGAAAGUCGUAGAUAUCAGGAGGAACACCGGUGGCGAAGGCGACUUUCUGGCCCUAUACUGACGCUGAGACGCGAGAGUGUGGGUAGCAAACAG